This 426-nucleotide ribosomal RNA is filed under the name uncultured Gaiella sp. RNAcentral describes it as "bacterial SSU rRNA". It matches the Rfam family "Bacterial small subunit ribosomal RNA", at positions 353 to 772 of the family's 1533-position model. Lineage: Bacteria; Bacillati; Actinomycetota; Thermoleophilia; Gaiellales; Gaiellaceae. The record is from RNAcentral.
AGUGGGGAAUCUUGCCCAAUGGGCGAAAGCCUGAGGCAGCGACGCCGCGUGAGGGAAGAAGGCCUUCGGGUUGUAAACCUCUUUCAGGAGGGACGAAGCUACUCGGGUUAACAGCCCAGAGGGUGACGGUACCUCCAGAAGAAGCCCCGGCUAACUACGUGCCAGCAGCCGCGGUAAUACGUAGGGGGCAAGCGUUGUCCGGAUUUACUGGGCGUAAAGAGCGUGUAGGCGGCCAGGCAGGUCUGUUGUGAAAACUGGAGGCUUAACCUCCAGACGUCGACAGAAACCGCUUGGCUAGAGUCCGGAAGAGGAGAGUGGAAUUCCUGGUGUAGCGGUGAAAUGCGCAGAUAUCAGGAAGAACACCAAUGGCGAAGGCAGCUCUCUGGGACGGUACUGACGCUGAGACGCGAAAGCGUGGGGAGCGAA